This is a long non-coding RNA of Gallus gallus (chicken), 11763 nucleotides long. RefSeq lists it as uncharacterized. NCBI's taxonomy places the organism in Eukaryota, Metazoa, Chordata, Aves, Galliformes, Phasianidae. The transcript has 3 exons. The record is from RefSeq and is a predicted model, not a curated record.
GGCGGCAUGGGCGGCGGGGGGGCCGCAGGGCAUGGGCUGCCGGCGGGGCCGCCCGGAGCGCUCCUCCGCCGCCGCUCCGCUCGCCCUCUAUGCGCCUCGGCUCCGCGGACGGCCAACAAGUAGGUGCCGGAGUGACAGCUUCAUUACCCAUUCGCCGCUGCGGCCGCCGCCUUCAUAUUAAUGAGGGGGACGGCCCGGCCCCGCGGCCCAGCGGGUGGGGCCAGCGCCGGGCCCGCGGCGGCUCUUAAAGGGAGGGAGGCGGAGGGGGGGGGGGGGAGUCCUCCCGCUGUGCGCCGUGCUCCGCUUCUGCCCCGCAGGCUGUAUGUCUGCGUGCGGGGCCGUGGGGCAGUUCUACGGGAUGCGUGCGCUCACGCUCGUGUGCAAGCAGACGGGGCGUGCGCGUGGCUGUGGGCGAAUGCGCAAGGUCCGUGCAUCCGCGCUUGUGUGCAGUAGGGUGAACGCGUGGCCGUGGGGCGGCACGCACAAUGAAUGCAAGCACCCGCACUACUGUGCAAGCAGGUGGGGUCUAUGGGGGAGUAGACAGGGUGUUCUGUGCUCAUGUAGGGUGAAAGCACGGCCGUGCAGGAGCGUGCACAGAGCAAGCAGCAACGCUUACACGCACCCCACCUGCCUGCAUGUGUAGCCAUGGAGAACCCUAUGGAGGAGCCCCGUGUGCAUCCCGCAAGGGAUAUGUGCAGCCACACUCGUGAGGUCCGUGCACUGAUGUUUGUGUGCAAACAGCUGGGUGGCCCUGCAUGGCUGUGGAGGAGCACGCAGGGCGGGUACACCUUUGGCCGUAGGAGAACGUGUGGGAAAUGUGUGCCCACACUCGUGGAGGAGCACGUAGGCUGCACGCGCACUGAUGGAGAAGUGCUUGGGGUGGGUGCACCCACACAACUGCAGGAGUACGCAUAGCUUGGGCGUAACUGCAGAAGACUGCACAGGGUGGGAUCACCCACAGCUGUGGAGGUGUACAGAUGCUGUGUGCACACGGAAUGAGGUUGGUGCCAGCAGUGGAGCAGGGCAUGGGCUGGGAGCACCCUGGCUGUGCUGUAGCACUCGCACUCAUGUCAAGCCCCAGGGCUGCCGGGAGCCCCGGGCUCACUGGGAGCAUUGCAACACGCGGUGCGGGAGCAGAUGGCCGAUGCUGGGGUCCUGCCCUCCUCCAGCGGUGGCUUAGGCACUCUGUGAGCAUGCAGAGAUUUCCCCUCUGCUUUAAGCACCCUGUGUCUCUGAUCCCUGCUGACAACUAUGAAAGCCGUACAUCCAGACAACUGCACGCUGUGGAUAUGUUCUCAAAGCCCGGCUCUGCGCUGAAGACCUCACUUUCCCUUCUGCUUCUCUCCCUCCCCCUUUCCCCAUUUUAACUCUGGAGCACCGCUCAUCCGCGAGAGUGGACAAUCCCAGAACAAACAGCUCCGAAAUCAAAGGGCCGUCGUGUUCCCCUGCUCCCAAACCUUUCACAGACCCCCCCUGCCCAUUGAACUCCUGUCCCUCCAGCAGCCAGCCGGCACGCUGCUGCUCCGCUAUUCAAGGCCAGCGUGCAGCUGCAGCCCUCGGCCGGGCUGACACAGCAGCAGCUGCUCGUUGCGUGCCAGCUGGCGAGCCACGAGCCCCAGUCCUCUUGUUAGCCCGCUCCCCUCGCCUUCCUGCUCCCCACCUACGGACCUGAUUCUCCUUUCCCACCCACGGCUCGGUGCGCUGCUGCUGGUUGCUCUCACCCCCAUCCUGAGCCCACCCCGCUGCCGCCCACGCUCACCUCGCCUGCUCCCCAGCAGCGGCCCCGACUUUCCCUCUUAUCCCUCCUGAACUCAAACAGGAGCUCUCUGAAGUGGAGCGGCAAACAUUGCUUUUAUGUCGUGCGUCCUCUCUUUGAAACAGUGCCUCCCAACACAACUGCGUUCUGGUGAAGAUCCCCUCUGGGAUAACUGCCUGUAGAAGGAGGCAGAAGGAGGGGGGACGUGUAGGUUUGAUGGGAUGUUUCCAAGUUGCCACCUUUUGCUGAUCAGCUCUGCUGGGCCCAUAGCCCUGCCCAUAGCACCGCUGCCAAGUGGACAGGCGGAUGCCAUGUGGCUUUUAAUUACUUUGUUCUGGUGGCUGAAGGGAAGGAGCUCCUUAGGCUCGCUUUCUGCCUAAUGGUUAUUUUGCCAUGGACGGCAGCCAAACUAUUUUGCAAGACAGGUAUUUUGUUUGCGUGUAUCAUCAUAAACAAACGCAAAGCCUCAUCAUCUGCGCUCAGCAUUACGUGGUCAGUCUGCCUCUGGAGGAAGACAUAUUUUUAUCACCACGCUGAGCAAAUGCAAUACAGAAGAAAGAUGAUCCAGGAGUUACAGCAGAUGCUCGGGCUCUGCAGACCCAGCUCGGUUACCUGCUGCAUCGCACGAUUGCUUUGUUACCUCGAGCACACUGCGUGGUCUUUUUGUGCUUUGCUUUUGCCUUUGUAAAUAUUCUACACUACUCAAAAAACUCCGGUGCCAUUUCAAAUGCCUUUUCUUGCUGUAACCUGAUUUCACAGGAGCAGGGAGCAGCUAUUUCCAGGCAUUCUCUCUUUCCGUUUAGGGAAAUGUUCAUUCUUUUUGGUGCUACAGCCCCAUUUUCAGCCUGUUCUCUCACUAAGCUGAUUGACAUUGACAAAGAAUCAUAGAAAACCCAAGUUGGAAGGGACCCAUAAGGACCAUCGAGUCCAACUCCAUUGUUCAAGUGCUGUGGACUUUCACUCUUCUGCAGGCACACAGAGCUGCUUCGUUGUAGUUACGCAUAGAGAUGAUUUGAAGGAAAAACAGCAAAAAUAUUUCUCAUUAUAUGAACUUUGAGUUUUCAGACAAGUCCAGGUGCUGGACCACAAGGUGAAUUGGGAGGGAGCUGGGUGAUCCAUCCCUUGCACCACACCUGGGGCAGCAUCCCACCUGUGUGCUGCUCUGUGCAGGUCAGCACAAUUUCCCCAUGUCCUGCACAAGUUUGAAGCACUCUUAUUUCUCUCUUCCCACCAAAACAGUGGUUAUCAAGCUCAAAAACCUAUAGAUCCCCUCCUAUUGCUCUCUUCCUCCUUUAGACUGCAAGUGGGAACUAGUGGGUGGCAACCAGCCCGCAGCAGGCAGUUGGAGCUCAGUGAUCUUUAAGGUCCCUUCCAACGUACGCCAUUCUGUGAUUAGGGGCUGUGCACAGGGAAGAAGUUGAAGAAGGGCUGAGGAAGCCCGUGCCUGACUUUAAGCUUGAGCCUGCAGUUCCACACCCUGCACUGGGGACGUGGCUGGAGAACAUCGGUCCCUAUGGCCGGGGAGGACCCGCUCACUGUGGCUCCGGGCAGGGUGGGAUUCCUGCACCCCGUACCUCCUCACUCCCAGCUGUCUGGGCCAGGAUUUUGGCUUUCGCUCUCUGUUAAGUUUAUGCCUGUAUGCAAAUCCUUUGCAAGUAUGCUCAUUAAAUCGUUUGCAUAAAAUCUCCCCGGAGGAUCAUAGGAGCUAGGAAGGGGCAGGGUUUCUCCACUCGCCUUUGAGACUUCAGAGGUACGGCGAUGUAGUUUAUCUGCAAGUGUGUGGAUGUGGAUAUGGACAUAUACCUCAUUUACCCAGGCCGGAAUGCGUCCGCUUGGGAAACUUAAAAGCAAGAAGAUCAUUUUGGAUGUUCUCCAUCUGAAACUUGGCAGGGUAGGAGUUAACCCUCCCUUUCUGGCCGGAGAGGCUACAGCUGCCUGUCCUGAGAGCAAGGCAUUGCAGGACAGAACCAGCUGUGAAGAAUUAGUUUCUCUCUUUCCUCCUUUGUCUGAAGGGCUAGGGCUAAUGGUACAAAUGGAGGGAGCUCCUGAGGAAGGGAGGUAGAGGGUAACCAGAGGAGGAUUUCUCUCUCUUCUUGUGGAACUUGGCUGGAGCGAGGUAUUCCAAGCUUUGCUGUGGACUUGGCAAGGCAAAGAUGUGUCUUCUCCUUUGACCGAAGAGAGUCCUGCUGGAUUUGGAUGGUUCAUGUACUGCGUUUAACAAGUGUGUACACGCAUAUGCAUGCUCUUCAUGGAAGCAAGCAGGCUUGAACUGCAGGGACGUUAUCAUAAGUUACCUUCCAACGGAGACCUGCAAGUAUCCUUAGGUUGAGCUGUUUGCACAGUCCAAGAGAAGACAAGCUGGAGAAGGCACAAGGUGCUGCUCGCAUCUGUCUGCCUUCCAGGCUCCAGCUCCGCAAGCAAAGCUAUGCCUGAUGGAAGCUGUGCCAGAAAGGAGCUGAGGUCUUGGCAGCACCCUUUCCUAUCUCCAGCUCUGGGCUGGCACUGGUUUCUGAGGGCUCUGGAGCAGAAGGAAGGUGGCUUCCAAACAUCUCAGCCUUGCUGCCUGGCCAGCUUUCUGCUGUGGGGCCUGGUCUUCCGCCAGCAGAAGCAUAUGUGAUAUCUGGUCCCUGAAGCUGGUUGGUUUCAGUCUGUGGAGCUUGGUUCUAAAGGCCAACAAUAUUAAUGAAAUGGGAGAAAUGUAGCAAAGGCACAGAGUUGCUGAGCUACUCCCGGCUGAUCACCUCCCACAUUUCAGAGCCCUGCUCAAAGGUUUUAAGACGUGGGUGGGCGUGAGCUGUUAACAGGUCGCUGGGGAAAGAGUGCAGAAAGCCAGCUCUGCUGAUCUGACUUCUCCGGCUCACUGUGCUCCUGCUCUUCUCAUGCCUCGUCUCUGUGGAUUCUCAGGAAAACAGUUAAGUUUGAGACUUCUCUGAUGGACUGAACUGUGCUGUACCCACAGCUGGCCUUCACUCUCAAAGUUCAUUGUAGUCAUCCUCAAAAAAAAGACAGAAAUCUCUACCUAUGUCUUCCCUGGUGUAUGAAUCACAGAAAAUAAGGUCAGAAGGGAUAUCUAGAGAUUAUCUAGUUUAUCCCAUUCCACAGAGCAGAACAAACAGUGCCUGCUUCUUGCAUAACAGAUGGGUAUCCGACCUUUUCUUAAAAGCAUCCCCAGACAGAAAUUCUCGGCUGAGAUCACUUGUUCUAGCAGUUAACCAUCAGGAAAUGCAUGGUGCUGUAUGUAUUGCUGCUCUUUGAUUCCACUUCUUGACCUAUUUGCAAUGGAUGCAGAGCACAGCAUAUUCCCUUCGUGUCCACCACUGCCCUUUAUGUACUUGAAGACCACUGCUGUGCCUCCUCCUGAUGCCUCAUGUUUGCAUAGAAAAGAAUUAUUUUUUUGGUCUUAUGAUGGUAGAUCAUAUUUUCUACAUCCUUGAUUGUUCUCAUGGCCCUGCUUUGGUCUCUUCACAAUUGUUCCUCAGUUGCCUUAAAUCCAAUGCGCAGAGUUCCAGUAGGACCUCAGUAGUGCUGAGUGAGGUGAAGGAAAUCUGUCACAGAGCAGGCAGGAAUCACUACUGGCCAUGUGUGCAAACACAGUGCUCGCUUUAAUGUAGCUUUUUAGAGGAGGGGAGGUCUUGGGUUUGGAAGUGGGGUUUUGUUUGUUUGUUUGUUUGUUUUGUCAUGAUAUUGUUUUAGGAUCAUAGAGUCAUUUGAGUAGGAAGAGACCUUUAAAGGUCAUGUAGUCCAAAUAUUGCUGAAGUCCAGUUUUGGUUGUUGAAGUCCAGUACUGUUGGUUUGCCAUCCACUAAAGAGGUUUUUACCCUUGGAUCUUCAGAUUAUGUCUUCUAGUUAUGCUAAUAAAAUGUGAGUGCCAAAAUCGUAGAAUCAUAGAAUGAUUCAAUAAAGGAUGGGUUUAUUGCAUCUGUAAGUUCUUGCAUACCCUUCUGCCCAGUGGAAGGAAAAAUAUGCUGUUGAGUUCACAAAUCUGUCCUGUUACACACCCCUUUGUUAUUUUCAAGACAUUUAUAUAAUAUUUAUCUGUUCCAGUUCUCUCUGGGAAUUCAAACCAAGCUGUCUUGCGCAUCAUUCUUCAGCUCCUUCCUUUUUAAAAGGGUUUGCAUCUCCCUUUUCUGGUCUCUGGCACUGUGGUGGUUCUCUGAGGUCUCAGAGAGCUGCUGACCAUCAUGGGAUUGCUUCAACAGGCAGUACAAGAGUAUAAUAUUUAAUCCGACUAAAUACUCUUCACUUCUUUCUAGACUGAGUUCUUUCCCUGUCAUCAUUCAGCACUAUCUGUGGUAACCAUUUUGGCACAAGGGAUCUUUUUACUGAAAGCUGAAGUAAAGCGGGUAAAUACUUCUACUGUCUUUACAUCAUUCGCUACCACUUCUCCUUACCUUCUGGGUAGUCCUUCCCACAACCUUCAUGUCAUUGCUAAUGUAUUUGAAGUGUUCUUGAUGUCCCAUUGAUCCUGCUGGUUGAUUCUCUGUUUCUCUCGUGACUUUUCUGAUGUGGUCCCCACACCUUCAGGCUGUGCAUUUACAUUCACUGGCAUGUGAAUCUAGUUUCUAUUCUCCGAAGACCCUAUUUCAUGUGUUAGAGAUCGGUGAAGUGGUGAUGAUUUAAGCACAUCGUCUUGUGACAGUUGCUUUCCCUCCUCUGCUGGGAUUGUUUGAAUUGAUGUCCUUACCACCAUUGUUUCUUUAAGCUGCUGCCAACUUUCCUGAAUUCCCUUUUCUCUGAGACUUGUUUCUCAUGAUUAUCAGUUCUAUGAGGUUUUUGAAAUAUGCUUUCUGGAAGUCCAUUGUGUUUAUUUUGCUGUUCUCCUUCCUUCCUUUCUGACAACUCGUGAACUCUGUUGUUUCAUGGCCAUUCUCACCCAAGCUGCAUUCCUCUUGCAUGUUAUAAGUAGUUCAUUCUCUUUGGUUACAGUCAAAUUCGAUUCUCAUUUUGAUUGUGUAUCAAGAUUUUAAUCUCUUCUACUGAAUUCCUUAUCUGGUGUGUGUUAUGUCGUCAGGUGAUCCACUGUCCUCUUCAGCAUCCCUCCAAUGAUCAUCCUAUGAGUUAUGGUAUUUCCCCUAGUCUGUAUGCCUCUACCCAAGUGUUUGAUGCUUGUAUUUACCUGUUGGCAUUUGAAACCAGUCCUUGCAGAUCCUAUCUGCAGUAAUCCCAGAGAUGCUCUUACUGCUUUGUCCAUUGAAGCUCUGAUCACCAGUCCUUUUUCUUGGAAUACCCACCCAACUUCAAGCAAGUCAGAACCUUCCUGAUGAUACCAUCUGCCCAGCCAUGCAUUCAUUCCCAGGAAAAAAAAGUAUGAAGUAACUGAUGCCACAUGUGACCAAAGUAGCUAGUGUCUAAUUCAUUGAAAGAGUUUUCCCUUCCAGCUUCCUGUCCAAAACUGGUCUGACUGAUGCUAAGAAAACCCACUCUGGGCAUCUUGGUUCUAUCCAACGGCCAAUACAAUGCUAAUUCCCAAGGGAAAUUCUUAGGGAAAUUAUCCAAGAUGCAGUUAAAAGUUUGCCUACUUGAGACCCAGUCUGGGGUCAGACUAAGCCACUGACAUUGAUGUUAUCUUGGAUAAUCUGCUGUCAGAGGAUGGAGACCUGGCAUCCAUCUCCUGAACCAAAACACUUAUAACCCUUCCAUAAUGCGUCUCUACUAAUACCUGGAUCUUGGUCAGCUUUUGGAAUUUCUUUCAGCUGGUGCUUCCCAGUGCUGUCUGUCAGGAGGUGCUCAGGAGCUCGGCAGAUGCUCUUGCUUGCAGAAGACAGCUCAAUUCAUUUGGAAGAAGUGACUCAGGGCCAGGGCCACUCCAUCCAUUGUGCUGGAUCAGAGUCCACCGUCACAAUUCAUCUGUUUAUGCCCCGAUUAGCCAUUAAAAUAAAAAUUUUAUCGCUUCUAGUUAAAAGCAGGCAUAAAUGAGAGCUUCCUCCUCUGAACAAGGGACAGUGCUCCAAACUAGAAUCUUCCUUCCUGGAGCCAGGCAAAAUAACUAAGAGGGGUGACAGAUGAUUCAUCUGCCAGUGCUCUCCCAUCAAAAACUGUAGCUAAAACAAGAUUACCAAGAAGAAGAGUGCUAUUAAAGGAGGAAACUGCUCCUGUAAUUUUGUUAAGGAACAUGAGAUUAUUUAAAAGCCUUUUUAAAAGUGUGUUUGUUCCAGGAGAGGAGGGGCGAGGGAGGAUUUUAGAGGGAUGGAGAUGAUCAGUCUUUCUUGCCUAUAAAGAUUCAUGCUGCUUUCUUUGCCCUAGCCAGCAAGGGUGGCUAUUUCAGGGCCCAUUUUAAGUCAUCACUCCAGUCCUAAUGAACGGGGCACAACCUAUGCCGUGGCUUUGCAGGGGCUGAGAGCAGGGAACAACCACUGUGGGGUGUGAGGAAUUUGGUGCACCGAACUACGCGUAAUUGCAGGUUAAGGUUUUUCCAGCCUGCCUUUUUGUUCCUGGCCAUGGUAAUCCCCCACAUGUUCACACAGCAGCACUCUCACAUUGUAUCGUAUUGCUUUAUAAACUCUCAAAGCCAUGAAUGAGCAAGCCUCAAAACAUGCACCUUGCUUCACUUGCAGACAGGCUGCCAGCACCUUCAGCAGGCACAGAUAUAUCUUAAUCAUGGUGAACUACACUACAAAAAGGUGUUAGAGCAGUGACCCCAUGGGGUGCAGCGCAGGGACCCCAUAGGAGCAAUGCAGAGACCUACAGUGCUGAGUGAUUCUACAAAGCACAGCGUGGGGAACAGAAGGGACCCAUUAAAGCAGGUGCUUUGGUCGUGCAAAAAGCAUUUUGUGUACAGUGUCAACUCACAGCCAGAGCUGUGCAUUUUGAUCAGAUCUUCAAGGUCAGAUGGAAACACAGCGGUCAUGUAGUGUGACCCUGGCUGCUUCUUAUGGAGAAAGGAUCCCCAGAUUAGUGCUGGAGCAGCAUUAGGAAUGGGUACAGGUUUCUCUGUGCCUUUCCCAUGGACAAAGAGUGCUCUGGAGAGGGGCAGAUACCUGUCAGCAAGGAGCUGAAGCUGUGCUGCCAUCGUGGAUAAGGGCUGUGUUUCAAAUGCAGAGCUCUGCAGAGCGGAAUGUUAUUAAAAUUUGGGUUUAUAAUGGGGUAGAAUGGGGAUUUAUUUGAACUGCAUGAAGGAGGUUGAAAGUUGAGAGAGGUUCCGAUAAUGAAUGAAUGAAUAGAAAGACUGAAUUCAAGUUGGAAAAACAGCUCAGGAUGUGGGUUGUUUUCUGUAGUUAAUCCCUUCUAAAUAUUUAAGGGGAAAAAACAGAGGGAAUGGAAAUGGUGCUUUGUUUAAAAAUAGGAUCUAAGCUCUACUAAACACAUAAAGCAAUCCCACAGAUCCCUGUGCACCCAAGUCCCUCCCCUCAAACGAGUUUGUUCCACUUGAUGCAGCCCAUAAGGAGCUAAAAACGAGCACACCAAGGAUCUGAUAGCCUCCAAACAAGCUUCACGUUCAGUUCUCGAAGUGCAGUUCAGAGCACAGGUUGUGCACAAGCCAUUGCCUACAUGUGUGUGCAUGGAGACAGGGAUGGGAUCUGCUCUUGCAUUGGGUGCAGACUGUAUUUUCUGGUCCCAUGCAGCCCCUCCCUGCAGGCCAGCAGCAUUGCCCAGAGCCCCAAAUCCCACAGCCAUCCUACAUGGACUGACACCUGUCCACUGCAGGGGGUUGGAACUCCAUGAUCCUUAAGGUUCUUUCCAACCUAUGCCAUUCUAGGAUUCUGUGAUUCUUUGACAAGCCAGCAGCUGGCUGCACUCUUGCCCAUGGGAUGUACUGUGUCUUUGCAUGUAUUUCCAGACAAAGUCCAUUACACCUUGCUCCUGAUGCCAAAGUUUUCUAGUUCUGAAAGAGCAGUAAUUCACAAUGGAGCAAGUAUUCCUUCAAUUUCCUUUGCUUCAAAAUGGUACCGAGAAUCUGUUCUGAAUGAAGGCAGACAAAAAAUGCUCCAUGUUAAUGCACGCUCUGGGUUAGCUGUCUUUGUUAAAUUAGAAUGAGUGCUGCUCAUUUCCCAUCUGGUCCUCUGUGACAUUACUUCCAGAAUACAUUCACAGCUCCUAUUUGUGCAGUGCAAGUUGCUGGCUGUAGUACCAACUUUACCUUUUAUAGGCUGCUAAAACACGGGUGCCAGAUCGCAAAGUAACGCUCCACUUCUAGGAAGCAUCUGUGGACUUCUCCUGCUUCGACAGCUUUCUUUUUUCCCUCCUCUUAUUUUCUUUAAAUGUAACCAUCUAUGUGAAAUGAGUUUGUUGUCAAACCGAGCUGACGGUUUGACAGCCCCGGAGCCUUCGUCGCGUGGUGAGGAUGCAGCAGGCAGAGGAAGCGAUGCGCUAUCAGUCUGCCCCGAGGGCUGCAGGAGCAGAUAGGUCCCAUCUGCAGCUCUGCUCAGUGCCUUCGCUGCCUGCUGUGCUAUGCUGUGCAUCCUCCACCCCUGCCCUGCAAUGCGUCUCACUCCUACCUGGGUACAUGCGGGGUGCUGAGCUGAGUUGCCCAUGUGCAUUGACCGCACCGUGAAUUCUCACCAUAGCAACUGCCCGCCCCAACAGAACGUGGGGCUUAUUAAAGAGGCUCUUUGUGUACCUCUCAGGCUGUGAGAGCAGCACAGAACCUGCGAGCUGAACAAUGCUGCAGGUGUCUUCCCUUGUAAAACAUGUAAUUAUUGCCUUCUGUAAGUGAAAUGGAUAUGGGGAUUCUGCGUGGGGUGGCAGUGAAGAUGUGGGGUGGCACACUGCUAUUAGUGCUGUUACGAAUGGAAGAUCAGCAGGCACGCUCCUCAGUAGAUGCUCCUGAUAAACUGCAUUGCAUACCUUUACUUUGUUGGGCCACAGAGGUGACUUUGCGUACCAGUGCUGCAAAUGUUUUGUUCUUCUCCUUUGCUGCUGAACUACUGGGAAGUGAGGAUGGGUGGAAAUGGAGAUGGCGAUCGCCAGCGGCUUCUGCCAGGAGGCCACAUGUGCAGCCAACAGAUGACUACAUGGGGAUCUAUAAAGCAAUAAAAAGCAGAGUCCAGAUAACAAGGCUUAGCGGGAAUAAAGAUAAGGCAGCAUCCACACCAUCGGUGCAUGCAUGGGCAAAGACGAGAGCAGGAAGAGCAGGAUGCCCUUCACAACCUCUGUGCACGAGAGCAAGAUAGACCCCAAGAUAGAGUAAGAAAGAAGAGAUGCAACCCAUCAACCUCCUUCUGCAUCUCUCUCUGCACCCGUGGAUCUACAGGGAGAGGCAUUCUGGUGCACACUUCCCUGAAGCUGAUGUGUGAAACAGUCUCUGCAGGAGAUAAUGGUGAGCAGCCCUCAAUGAAAGCAGGAGCUAAAUCUGAUUCACAGUAAUCGCUUGAAAUGUGUUACCCAGUCAUCUGCUGCCUUGCACAGCGUGCCAACACUGGUAUAAUGAACCGCUGAUCGUUCACUUAAUAGCUACACAGUGGCUGAAAAGAUGGGGACUCCUACAUCAUGUAAAUUUGCCUAGAUUUCAUACGCCCACUGGUGACCUCCAGUCCCUUUUACAUUGGUUUAUUUCCUCAGAAUAUAACAGAUUUUUAUUUAUUUAUUUAUUUAUUUAUUUUCUUCUGUGAGGUAAAUGAAACAAGGGUUGGGUCCCUGAUGUCAUGUUAAAUUGCCUUGAAUUACCCGUGGCAGAAAGUUUCAACAGAGGUAAAAGAGCAGGUGUUUUUCCUAAAUGCUCAUCACCAGAUUUCCUCUCAUAAGCUGCUAUUUUUUUUUUGGCCCCCAGUAAGUCUUCACUUAUUUUUCCAAACCUUGAACCUUUCUGCCUCAGAGCUGAUGGUGAGGAUGCAGGCACUGCUACUCCACAGGAGUCUCACCAUCUCACCAUGUGGGACAAGUGAAAUUAGCAGUAAUCUGAUACAAUUAUGUGACACUGUGAAGGACUGAUAGUGCUGAAAGAGACCAAGAAGCUGUAGAUAGUCUUACCUUGGGGGUUUUCCUUAAUUUAUGAAUGAACAUAGAAUCAUAGAGUGGCCUGGGUUGAAAAGGACCACAACAAUCAUGGAGUUUCAACCCCCUGCUAUGUG